Haemonchus contortus (barber pole worm) is the source of this 77-nucleotide non-coding RNA. The record is from Rfam. Lineage: Eukaryota; Metazoa; Nematoda; Chromadorea; Rhabditida; Trichostrongylidae.
GGUACCCAAACUUGAAGUAGAGUAGAUUAGAAUGAUCAUCUGACCCUACCAGACUACUCUACUUUGAGUUUGUGCCC